Non-coding RNA from Myxocyprinus asiaticus (Chinese sucker), 1207 nucleotides. The record is from the annotation of a RefSeq genome assembly. NCBI's taxonomy places the organism in Eukaryota, Metazoa, Chordata, Actinopteri, Cypriniformes, Catostomidae.
GCAUCUGCUAAAUGAAUAAAUGUAAAUAUAAGUGGAAUUUCCUGCAAAAUAUUAAGCAUUGCUGCAAAAGCUUUCCACUAAGCAAUGGCACAGCAAAAAUAAACAAACAAACAAAUAAAUAAAUAAAUAAAAGGUAGAAAUAUGACACUUGAGAAUGCAAAGAUCGCAGCAUCUCACAUAAAACAGGAAGUUCCAUCAUGGCUUUAUGUUUGAAAUGCAGAGACUCACAGUAACACAGAUCUACAGCUCAGAACACAGACAGCAUCAACACAGAACUAAUCUGAAUUAGUAAACAUGGAAAGAUACCUGCUCCUGAUUUUAAUUGUGACUCCAGGUGUGAUGACUGCAGACCGUAUAAAACCAAAUAUAGGAACAAAUAUCAUUAAGACAGAAGAUGAUAAAGUAACACUGAGCUGCUCAUAUGAAACAAGCAGCAGUUCUAUUACACUUUACUGGUACAGACAGUAUCCUAAUACAGAACCUCAGUAUUUAAUUUGGAAAGAUGCUCGGUCAUCGAGUGAUACUGGGACCCCCUCUGAUCCUCGGUUUCAGUCGACUACAUCACAAACAUCCACUGAACUCAUUAUUAAUGAUGUAACUCUGUCAGAUUCAGCUCUUUAUUACUGUGCUCUAAGAGUCGGAGCCCAGUGAUACAAAGUCUAUGUGAAGCUGUACAAAAACUGAUAUUGAUUUUUCACUUUGAUCUCAAUCCACAUCAAACCCACAAUCUAUAUUCAGAUAAUACGAUAACACUUGCAGCAACACCUGUGUGUGGUUAAAAAUGAAAUGAGUUUUUAGUUCUAAAGGGUAAUGAAGGAAAAGUGAAAAUAUAAUAUAAUGUAAAAUGGUAUUCAUCCCUGAAGCACAUAAGUUUAUGUACCUUAUGAUACCCUCAUUUCUAGGUCACUAAUAAAAUUUAAGCAAAUUUGUGACAUUGGCCAUGUUAACCCUUUAGACAAAAUGGUCAGAUUUUUCAUUUGCUUCCAUUAAGGCAUACAAGAUGCUUUUUAAAACAUUCUCAAAUCAUUCUGAGAUAACAUGAGUCUUCAGGUUUUGAACAACUUUAGGAGUCCAUGCCAGCUAGAGUGCAUACAUGUCAUUAAAGGGGGACAUACCAAAUACUAGAAAUUCUGAAAUUCAUGUUCAUUUUUCAACCUUUUACUCAAAUUAAUAUGCUGAUAAUCUUAAUUCUAAUGAAAAUACUGUA